GUUCUCACUUCAGCAGCACAUAUCCUAAAAUUCAAAUGAUACAGAGAUUAGUAUGGCCCCUGUGCAAGGAUGACACGCAAAUUUGUGAAGGGUUCCAUAUUUUA
This 104-nucleotide small nuclear RNA is filed under the name Chinchilla lanigera (long-tailed chinchilla). Lineage: Eukaryota; Metazoa; Chordata; Mammalia; Rodentia; Chinchillidae. The record is from RNAcentral.